CCUACGGGUGGCAGCAGUGAGGAAUAUUGGUCAAUGGACGAGAGUCUGAACCAGCCAAGUAGCGUGAAGGAUGACUGCCCUAUGGGUUGUAAACUUCUUUUAUAUGGGAAUAAAAUGUUCCACGUGUGGGAUUUUGUAUGUACCAUAUGAAUAAGGAUCGGCUAACUCCGUGCCAGCAGCCGCAGUAAUACGGAGGAUCCGAGCGUUAUCCGUAUUUAUUGGGUUUAAAGGGAGCGUAGGUGGAUUGUUAAGUCAGUUGUGAAAGUUUGAGGCUCAACCGUAAAAUUGCAGUUGAAACUGGCAGUCUUGAGUACAGUAGAGGUGGGCGGAAUUCGGGGUGUAGCGGUGAAAUGCUUAGAUAUCACGAAGAACUCCGAUUGCGAAGGCAGUUCACUGGACUGCAACUGACACUGAGGCUCGAAAGUGUGGGUAUCAAACAGGAUUAGAUACCCUGGUAGUC
Molecule: ribosomal RNA, 460 nt
Filed under: uncultured bacterium
Lineage: Bacteria
Description: partial 16S ribosomal RNA
Rfam family: Bacterial small subunit ribosomal RNA
Source: RNAcentral